GAGUUUGAUCCUGGCUCAGAACGAACGCUGGCGGCACGCCUCAUACAUGCAAGUCGAGCGCGAAACCACCUUCGGGUGAUGUAGAGCGGCGAACGGGUGAGUAACAGGUGGGUAAUCUGCCCUUUGGCGGGGGACAACAGCUGGAAACGGCUGCUAAUACCGCAUGUGAUUGUGGAUUUAUGGUCUGCAAGGAAAGACGCCUCAAAGCGUCACCAAAGGAUGAGCCCGCCCCCCAUUAGCUAGUUGGUGAGAUAACAGCCCACCAAGGCUUCGAUGGGUAGCCGAGCUGAGAGGUUGAUCGGCCACACUGGAACUGAGACACGGUCCAGACACCUACGGGUGGCAGCAGUAGGGAAUAUUGCGCAAUGGGCGAAAGCCUGACGCAGCGAUGCCGCGUGAGUGACGAAGGUCUUAGGAUUGUAAAGCUCUUUUCUGAGGGAAGAAUAGGUCCGGGAGGAAAUGCCUGGAUUCUGACGGUACCUCAGGAAUAAGGAACGGCUAACUCCGUGCCAGCACCCGCGGUAAUACG
RNAcentral lists this ribosomal RNA (529 nucleotides) under uncultured soil bacterium. Its description in RNAcentral is "bacterial SSU rRNA". It matches the Rfam family "Bacterial small subunit ribosomal RNA", at positions 9 to 527 of the family's 1533-position model. The record is from RNAcentral.